Molecule: transfer RNA, 64 nt
Filed under: Dipodomys ordii (Ord's kangaroo rat)
Lineage: Eukaryota; Metazoa; Chordata; Mammalia; Rodentia; Heteromyidae
Rfam family: tRNA
About the family: Transfer RNA (tRNA) molecules are approximately 80 nucleotides in length.
Source: Rfam by way of RNAcentral
GGGAAGUUGGCUCAGUGUUAGAGUGCUUGCCUUGCAUGCAUGAAGCCCUGGGUUCGAUUUCUCA